Salvia hispanica is the source of this 1045-nucleotide long non-coding RNA. RefSeq lists it as uncharacterized. The record is from RefSeq and is a predicted model, not a curated record. Lineage: Eukaryota; Viridiplantae; Streptophyta; Magnoliopsida; Lamiales; Lamiaceae.
UCUCCCUAACCUAGCUAUUUAGGUGAUUUCCUUAGAGCAGAGUCUGCUCUUGUUUCAUAAUUUUAGAGUUAGGCAGAUUGUAGUUGUUCUUCAAGGAAACUGCAGUAGCUUGGUUAAAGCUUAUGAGCAUGUGAGGAUUUUCUUUGAUUGGUGUUCAUAAGUGUACAAGAUUAAGGAAAACUUAGGGGUUUAAGUUGAUAUGAUAUGGCUACUGAGUUUAGGUAAAAAGACAUAGCCUAUUGUUUCUGUUAUUUCAUUUUUGUGGUAAAGCUCUAAGCUUUCUUGUCCUAAGCAUAAGGUUCUAAUAUGAUGCAGAGGGGAGCUGCUGAGCCUACUGAUCUCAUUUAGGACUUAGCAUGUUAUUUGAGAUUUUCUAAAUUUUGGUGCUUCUAUAUGAUGAUAUAAGCAAAAAGAUAUUUAAACUUGGGAUGGAGAGAAGGUGUUACCUGUUGAGAGGUUGUGAAGAAGGGAGGAUGAACUCUCUUGUUGUUACUUGCUCUCAACUCUCACUUAAGUUUUGCUGAAUUUUCGAAGUGUGUGGGAGGGCAAAUUUGAUGCAUAUGCAGGGGUCUUUAUAGGCAUAGUUGGUGUACUUGUGGGGGCUUUAAUGGGGCUGUUAUACUACUUUGUUCUCAUCUGGCAGCAUAUCCUCUUUAUUAUGAUUCUGCAGCAAGAUAUAAUUUGAAAUUUGGCUCUAUUUGAGUACCUAGUACUUGGUGAUAAAUGGCAUUUGUUUGUUGUGGCAGCUGCAUAGGCACAAUGCAGGUGCCACUAUGAGAAGUGGAGAUUUGAGAGGUUGACUUGCUAUCUUUGGGGAAAGAAACAACUUGGCUGCCACUUAGCUGUCCCGAAACGUGGGCUCGCUGCCCUGGGCCCGACGGGCUGAUCGGAUACGGACCACGGUGGGGGGUGCGACUUGGGCUCGGGAGAAAGAGGCCCAAAGAACUUUUCCUUUGUAUUUUACAUUCUUUCUUCUAGUUUCAUGUUUCAAUUAUGUAAGAUAAAUAGUAAGUUCAGAGGUGCGUACAUAAAUUUUCAUUCGCGA